This 583-nucleotide ribosomal RNA is filed under the name Russula sp. Its description in RNAcentral is "partial small subunit ribosomal RNA". It matches the Rfam family "Bacterial small subunit ribosomal RNA", at positions 348 to 957 of the family's 1533-position model. The record is from RNAcentral. Lineage: Eukaryota; Fungi; Basidiomycota; Agaricomycetes; Russulales; Russulaceae.
UCAGCAGUCCAAAAUAUUAGUCAAUGCUCGAAAGAGUGAACUAGCUAACUGAAAUCAAUUAUAAAAUUGAUAACAUAAGGGAAAAUAAUGAUAUUACCUUAUUAUUAGUGUCGUCCAAAACUGGUGCCAGAAGACUCGGUAAGGCCAGAGACAUAAACGUUAAUCGUCUUAAUCAGGCGUAAAGGGUUUGUAGGCGGCUUUUAAUUUUACUUAUUUAAUUUUGUUUUUUUUUUUAAUUAAAAAUUAUAAGUACAGAAUAAAAGCUAGAAUCAAAUAGAGGAUAUAUCAAAUAAUGCUUAGAGUAGGUCUGAUAUCCUUAGAUACUAAGUAGAAUAUUAAAGGCGAAGGCUUUUUUCCAUUAAUGAUUGACGCUCAGAAACGAAGGUGAGGAUAGGAAAUAGGAUUAGAUACCCAAAAUACCCCUCUCUGUCAACGAUGAAUGGUAGUUAUUAGUAAUAAAUUAAUUAAUGACAAUGUUAACACGAUAACCAUUCCGCCUUGUGAGUACAACUGCAAAGUUGAAAACAAAAAAAUUAGUCGGUUUCGGAGCAAACGAAGUGAAGCAUGUUAUUUAAUUCAAUAA